This 2959-nucleotide ribosomal RNA is filed under the name Staphylococcus aureus. RNAcentral's name for it is "23S ribosomal RNA". It matches the Rfam family "Bacterial large subunit ribosomal RNA". The record is from RNAcentral. Lineage: Bacteria; Bacillati; Bacillota; Bacilli; Caryophanales; Staphylococcaceae.
UUAAGUUAUUAAGGGCGCACGGUGGAUGCCUUGGCACUAGAAGCCGAUGAAGGACGUUACUAACGACGAUAUGCUUUGGGGAGCUGUAAGUAAGCUUUGAUCCAGAGAUUUCCGAAUGGGGAAACCCAGCAUGAGUUAUGUCAUGUUAUCGAUAUGUGAAUACAUAGCAUAUCAGAAGGCACACCCGGAGAACUGAAACAUCUUAGUACCCGGAGGAAGAGAAAGAAAAUUCGAUUCCCUUAGUAGCGGCGAGCGAAACGGGAAGAGCCCAAACCAACAAGCUUGCUUGUUGGGGUUGUAGGACACUCUAUACGGAGUUACAAAGGACGACAUUAGACGAAUCAUCUGGAAAGAUGAAUCAAAGAAGGUAAUAAUCCUGUAGUCGAAAAUGUUGUCUCUCUUGAGUGGAUCCUGAGUACGACGGAGCACGUGAAAUUCCGUCGGAAUCUGGGAGGACCAUCUCCUAAGGCUAAAUACUCUCUAGUGACCGAUAGUGAACCAGUACCGUGAGGGAAAGGUGAAAAGCACCCCGGAAGGGGAGUGAAAUAGAACCUGAAACCGUGUGCUUACAAGUAGUCAGAGCCCGUUAAUGGGUGAUGGCGUGCCUUUUGUAGAAUGAACCGGCGAGUUACGAUUUGAUGCAAGGUUAAGCAGUAAAUGUGGAGCCGUAGCGAAAGCGAGUCUGAAUAGGGCGUUUAGUAUUUGGUCGUAGACCCGAAACCAGGUGAUCUACCCUUGGUCAGGUUGAAGUUCAGGUAACACUGAAUGGAGGACCGAACCGACUUACGUUGAAAAGUGAGCGGAUGAACUGAGGGUAGCGGAGAAAUUCCAAUCGAACCUGGAGAUAGCUGGUUCUCUCCGAAAUAGCUUUAGGGCUAGCCUCAAGUGAUGAUUAUUGGAGGUAGAGCACUGUUUGGACGAGGGGCCCCUCUCGGGUUACCGAAUUCAGACAAACUCCGAAUGCCAAUUAAUUUAACUUGGGAGUCAGAACAUGGGUGAUAAGGUCCGUGUUCGAAAGGGAAACAGCCCAGACCACCAGCUAAGGUCCCAAAAUAUAUGUUAAGUGGAAAAGGAUGUGGCGUUGCCCAGACAACUAGGAUGUUGGCUUAGAAGCAGCCAUCAUUUAAAGAGUGCGUAAUAGCUCACUAGUCGAGUGACACUGCGCCGAAAAUGUACCGGGGCUAAACAUAUUACCGAAGCUGUGGAUUGUCCUUUGGACAAUGGUAGGAGAGCGUUCUAAGGGCGUUGAAGCAUGAUCGUAAGGACAUGUGGAGCGCUUAGAAGUGAGAAUGCCGGUGUGAGUAGCGAAAGACGGGUGAGAAUCCCGUCCACCGAUUGACUAAGGUUUCCAGAGGAAGGCUCGUCCGCUCUGGGUUAGUCGGGUCCUAAGCUGAGGCCGACAGGCGUAGGCGAUGGAUAACAGGUUGAUAUUCCUGUACCACCUAUAAUCGUUUUAAUCGAUGGGGGGACGCAGUAGGAUAGGCGAAGCGUGCGAUUGGAUUGCACGUCUAAGCAGUAAGGCUGAGUAUUAGGCAAAUCCGGUACUCNNNNNNNNNNNNNNNNNNNNNNNNNNNNNNNNNNNNNNNNUAAGGCUGAGCUGUGAUGGGGAGAAGACAUUGUGUCUUCGAGUCGUUGAUUUCACACUGCCGAGAAAAGCCUCUAGAUAGAAAAUAGGUGCCCGUACCGCAAACCGACACAGGUAGUCAAGAUGAGAAUUCUAAGGUGAGCGAGCGAACUCUCGUUAAGGAACUCGGCAAAAUGACCCCGUAACUUCGGGAGAAGGGGUGCUCUUUAGGGUUAACGCCCAGAAGAGCCGCAGUGAAUAGGCCCAAGCGACUGUUUAUCAAAAACACAGGUCUCUGCUAAACCGUAAGGUGAUGUAUAGGGGCUGACGCCUGCCCGGUGCUGGAAGGUUAAGAGGAGUGGUUAGCUUCUGCGAAGCUACGAAUCGAAGCCCCAGUAAACGGCGGCCGUAACUAUAACGGUCCUAAGGUAGCGAAAUUCCUUGUCGGGUAAGUUCCGACCCGCACGAAAGGCGUAACGAUUUGGGCACUGUCUCAACGAGAGACUCGGUGAAAUCAUAGUACCUGUGAAGAUGCAGGUUACCCGCGACAGGACGGAAAGACCCCGUGGAGCUUUACUGUAGCCUGAUAUUGAAAUUCGGCACAGCUUGUACAGGAUAGGUAGGAGCCUUUGAAACGUGAGCGCUAGCUUACGUGGAGGCGCUGGUGGGAUACUACCCUAGCUGUGUUGGCUUUCUAACCCGCACCACUUAUCGUGGUGGGAGACAGUGUCAGGCGGGCAGUUUGACUGGGGCGGUCGCCUCCUAAAAGGUAACGGAGGCGCUCAAAGGUUCCCUCAGAAUGGUUGGAAAUCAUUCAUAGAGUGUAAAGGCAUAAGGGAGCUUGACUGCGAGACCUACAAGUCGAGCAGGGUCGAAAGACGGACUUAGUGAUCCGGUGGUUCCGCAUGGAAGGGCCAUCGCUCAACGGAUAAAAGCUACCCCGGGGAUAACAGGCUUAUCUCCCCCAAGAGUUCACAUCGACGGGGAGGUUUGGCACCUCGAUGUCGGCUCAUCGCAUCCUGGGGCUGUAGUCGGUCCCAAGGGUUGGGCUGUUCGCCCAUUAAAGCGGUACGCGAGCUGGGUUCAGAACGUCGUGAGACAGUUCGGUCCCUAUCCGUCGUGGGCGUAGGAAAUUUGAGAGGAGCUGUCCUUAGUACGAGAGGACCGGGAUGGACAUACCUCUGGUGUACCAGUUGUCGUGCCAACGGCAUAGCUGGGUAGCUAUGUGUGGACGGGAUAAGUGCUGAAAGCAUCUAAGCAUGAAGCCCCCCUCAAGAUGAGAUUUCCCAACUUCGGUUAUAAGAUCCCUCAAAGAUGAUGAGGUUAAUAGGUUCGAGGUGGAAGCAUGGUGACAUGUGGAGCUGACGAAUACUAAUCGAUCGAAGACUUAAUCAA